Molecule: ribosomal RNA, 1149 nt
Filed under: Crangonyx floridanus
Lineage: Eukaryota; Metazoa; Arthropoda; Malacostraca; Amphipoda; Crangonyctidae
Description: bacterial SSU rRNA
Rfam family: Eukaryotic small subunit ribosomal RNA
Source: RNAcentral
GGCGAGACCGCGUACGGCUCAUUAAAUCAGUCGUGGUCCAAAUGGGCCAGUGCUUAUCCUACUUGGAUAACUGUGGUAAUUCCAGAGCUAAUAUAUGCAACUCAUACCCCGAAGGCCGCGCUCUUGCAGUGUGUGCUGGACGGGUGCUUUUAUUAGACCAAACCGCUGAGGGUGUGUUAGCCUCCCGGGGCGCACGCUUCACUCGCAUGAUGGUGACUCUGGAUAACCUUUGACAAGCGCACGUACCACUCUUUUGAGCGGACGGCGCUGCCACUUUCGAGUGUCUGCCUUAUCAGCUAUCAACCGUUCGUUACGUGCGACCGAUGGCUUUGACGGGUAACGGGGAAUCAGGGUUCGAUUCCGGAGAGGCAGCCUGAGAGACGGCUACCACGUCCAAGGACGGCAGCAGGCGCGCAAAUUACCCAAUCCCAGCUUCUGGGGGAGGUAGUGACGAAAUCUAACGAUGCGGGCGCCCUUUCUAGGGCCCCGCAAUCGGAAUGAGCACUUUCUAAACAACCUGUUGAGAACCUACUGAAGGGCAAGUCUGGUGCCAGCAGCCGCGGUAAUUCCAGCUUCAGCAGCAUCUAUUAAAGUUGCUGCGGUUAAAAGGCUCGCAGUUGAAUGUCAGUGCCGGGCGCAGGUUAGGUGGACGCUGGGGUGUGAGAACCAACACGGCACGGGCUUCGUCUGGUUGCUUGUCAGCUUGCUGGCCUUCCAGGCGUCGCACCGACCGUGUCUCACAAACUCCCGUCCGUGACAAGCCUCCUCGCUCGCGCACAUAUCGGAAUUGGUUUCGGAGGCGUGCGACCGGCGGCUUCGCUCACGUCUGUGCUGGCUCACGCUGGCCUGGCUGGGAGUUGCUUAGCCACGUGCGUUCUCUUUGUGGUUUCAGAGUCACCUUGAGUAAAUCAGAGUGCUCAAAGCAGUCGUAGGGGCCUUGCGCCCUGUGAAAAGUCUUGACGGACUGACUGGUUAUGCAUGGCAUGUCGGAAGACGACGUCGCGUGCUGGCUCAGAGUUUGAUCAGUGGUAUAAGCCAGCCGCGACGUACUGAUUAAAAGGGACGGUCGAGGGCAUUGGUAUUGCGAGGCGAGAGGUGAAAUUCUGUGACCCCCGCAAGACCUCCUGAAGCGAACGCGUCUGCCAAGGA